UUUAUUGGAGAGUUUGAUCCUGGCUCAGGAUGAACGCUGGCGGCGUGCCUAAUACAUGCAAGUCGAGCGAAUGGAUUGAGAGCUUGCUCUCAAGAAGUUAGCGGCGGACGGGUGAGUAACACGUGGGUAACCUGCCCAUAAGACUGGGAUAACUCCGGGAAACCGGGGCUAAUACCGGAUAACAUUUUGAACUGCAUGGUUCGAAAUUGAAAGGCGGCUUCGGCUGUCACUUAUGGAUGGACCCGCGUCGCAUUAGCUAGUUGGUGAGGUAACGGCUCACCAAGGCAACGAUGCGUAGCCGACCUGAGAGGGUGAUCGGCCACACUGGGACUGAGACACGGCCCAGACUCCUACGGGAGGCAGCAGUAGGGAAUCUUCCGCAAUGGACGAAAGUCUGACGGAGCAACGCCGCGUGAGUGAUGAAGGCUUUCGGGUC
This 436-nucleotide ribosomal RNA is filed under the name Bacillus cereus. Its description in RNAcentral is "bacterial SSU rRNA". It matches the Rfam family "Bacterial small subunit ribosomal RNA", at positions 1 to 424 of the family's 1533-position model. Lineage: Bacteria; Bacillati; Bacillota; Bacilli; Caryophanales; Bacillaceae. The record is from RNAcentral.